UUACACAGUCAUAAUGUUAUUAUUUUUAUAAGUUUGAUGUGCGGUGUCGUAUUUUUUUUUCCGGAAAAACUUCCGACCUAUUCAUCUUCAAUUAUUGUAGUACAACAAACACAAAGAAAUAAUAAAAAUUACAUCCAGAUCCAUAGAUCACCUACCGACGAGUACAAGAACUGAAGCGAGCCGAAGACGCGCCGCUGUCAUCGCCCAUCUCUCGCCGGAGCCGAGCAAAACUUUUUGUAGUAGACAGUCAGAAAGUCGUCGUGCUACAGCCUCAUAGGACCAACGCAACAGAACAGCAACGACCGCUGUUCAAGAGUAGCGUUGAUCAGAAGAAUCCAACCUGAAGACACAAGAACAUAAACAAAUGACGACCAGAUCCGAGCAAAUCCACCAAAUACAGAUCUGCCAAAGACACACCUCCACACGCCCACCAGUGAUCCUAGAAGUACCACCGGAACGGGGCCUAGGCGGGGAGAAGCUUAUUCCAUCUUCAGGGAGCCGCCGCCAUCUCGCCUUCCUGAGCAGGACACAAGCCC
RNAcentral lists this long non-coding RNA (536 nucleotides) under Triticum aestivum (bread wheat). RNAcentral describes it as "long non-coding RNA (TAES_LNC007968)". The record is from RNAcentral. Lineage: Eukaryota; Viridiplantae; Streptophyta; Magnoliopsida; Poales; Poaceae.